AACAUUAAGGUUUUUCAAAUUCAAAACAUUAAGGUUUUUCAAUUUAUUUAACUUAAACAGUGACUAACAAAAUGUAUCUUAGUUGAAAAUUCUACUUUCAUAUUAUAUUAUUUUCACACUUUUUAUAUCAUAUACUUUAUGUGAAAUUGAGUUGUAAUAUUUAUAUAUAUAUAUAUAUAUAUAUAUGUGUGUGUGUGUGUGUGUGUGUGUGUGUGUGUAUACAUAUAUAUAUAUGUGUGUGUGUGUGUGUAUAUAUAUAUAUAUAUAUAUAUACACAGCGGGUAAAAUAAGUAUUGAACACGUCACCAUUUUUCUCAGUAAAGAUAUAUUUCUAAAGGUGUUGUUGACAUGAAAUUUUCACCAGAUGUUGGUAACAACCCAAGUAAUCCAUAAAUAAAACAAAACAAAUAAGUUCAGAAAUUAAGUAAUGUGUAAUAAAAUGGAAUGUCACAAGGAAAAAGUAUUAAACUACUGAAAUUUAUUUAAUACUUCGUACAAAAGCCUUUGUUGGUAAUGACAGCUUCCAGACCCCUCCUGUAUGGAGAAACUAGUCGCAUGUAUUGCUCAGGUGUGAUCUGGUCCAUUCUUCCAGACAGUCUUCGAAUCUUGAUGGUUCUGUGGGCCUCUUAUAAGAACUCUGAUCUUUAGUUCUUAUUUUCUAUUGGAUUCAAGUCAGGUUAUUGGCUGGGCCAUUCUAGCAGUUUUAUUUUCUUUCUAUGAAUCAAAUUGAGAGUUUCCUUGGCCAUGUUUGGGAUCAUUAUCUUGCUUAAAUGUCCGCCCUUGUUUCAGCUUCAUCAUCCUGGUACUGUAGGUGUUGGGACUGAACCAGCUAAUAUUAAUUUCUACUGACAAGGGGAGGAUUGUUUUCUAAUUACAGAUAGAUUUCUUGGCUUUCCAUGCCUUUUUGCACCUCCCUUUCUUCAUGUGUUCAAUACUUUUUCCAUGUGUCAUUCCAUUUUAUUACACAUUUGUGGCAGGGGGGGCGUGGUUUAGCGAAGUCUGCAGCGGGAGAGAGAAUCAGGAGACGAUCGGUAAGUGAGUGGUUUGGGCAGAGACGAGCAACACCUGUCUCUUGUUUCAGUAAUUGGCGUGGAGAGAGUAUAAAACGCCAGGAGAGACAGAAGCAAGACAGAGAGAGAGACGGACUGCUGACGUGACCCCAAACCGGAAGAAGUCACCCGGAAGUGUUAUGUGAUCGUGUCGUUGUUGAUGCUAGAGUAAAAGUCACCGUUGGUGCAAAGUUUAUUUGUGUUAUAAUAAAAGAUACGUCAGCAGUCCA
Long non-coding RNA from Cyprinus carpio (common carp), 1279 nucleotides. The record is from Ensembl. Lineage: Eukaryota; Metazoa; Chordata; Actinopteri; Cypriniformes; Cyprinidae.